This is a long non-coding RNA of Varroa destructor (honeybee mite), 1427 nucleotides long. RefSeq lists it as uncharacterized. The record is from RefSeq and is a predicted model, not a curated record. NCBI's taxonomy places the organism in Eukaryota, Metazoa, Arthropoda, Arachnida, Mesostigmata, Varroidae.
ACGAAUUCGAUGGAUUGGCCUCAGGUUUUCCUGAAACACGCGUAAGAACAACCGGUACCGAUAUCGGUUGUAUCGAGUGCGGUUCCGAUGCUAAUUCGAGCAAUCAAUAGUGAUUACCGUUUCAAAGGAUUAUUACGUGUGUUGAAGUCCAGUUUCUAUACAGGUCGCAUCGAUGUCGCUAGUUGGCGUCCAAGUAUAGGUCUAUUUUGUUUGCGAGCUGUUUCACUUCGUUCUUCUCCCCGACCAAAUGCAAUAAUGCUGACCAUGAAUCUCUGUCGAGGUACCCCGACCAUUUGAGCGUCUGUGUACCUAAGGCUGAGCAUCUACCGCUACGAACCUAUCUCAACAUCAACAUUCGUGUCGGGAGUCGUCGCUUUGACACUUGACUACUGCGUUGCCACAACAAUGGCGAAGCCCAAAGCUGAUCCGUUUUCCCUUGUAGAACUCGAGCUAGCAAUGCUCUCGCAUGAGGGCGCCCCUUGCUAAUGUUUACACAAGGGAUUGAGAAUUCAAAUUUUGCCGCUAUUCACACUGCCGGUGUGUUACUUUCCCUAAGGCUGUUUGGGGGGUGUCAGUCCACAAAAAGUAAGCGAAGAAACACGGAGGGAAUUGGGAGUGCGAUUUGGCCUGGCACAGCUUAGGGUCAAACCUGGCUGUUGGAGAGGUUGGCCAGAGCCAGCUGAAGCCUCUGUGCUUGCCUUUUCGCCUAGGUGGAAUCGGUGCUUGGCAAUGUAAGCGCACUUGACACAUCUACAUUCAACCACAGCGUAAAAGUGAAGUAACUCUCGGGGUUGAGAUCUGGGCAGCUCAUAGUAAGACUAACAUAUACGCACCAGUUAUCAAGUCACGCCUGUCCGAUUCGCCAUGGCCGUAGUCAUCAUGCAAUUGUUCGACCCGCAACGUUGUGUCUCAUCGUGAAUAGUGACGACUUACCAACCAUGCUGACGAGGGUGAAUCGAUUUUCAGAAUGCAGUGGACGCCUGCGGUGAUUCGUACGGGCAUGCUUGGUUGUCCAACAAAGGGAUCUUAAAGGUGUCGCAACUUCAUCCAGCUGCUUACUUCGUCUCUAUGAUAUGGUACAUACUAGUCGACGUUGAUGGCGAUGAGUGGUAAUACCUAAAAAUUAAUGAUUAUCAAUGUUAGUGUUAAAAUUCGCGCUGUAGACAAGCCAUUUCAAUGAAGUAGCUUUCUCGUCGCUAUUGAAGGACAAUGACUGCUGACGACGAACUUAUACCCCAUAACUAGAUCGUCCACGCCGCGGGCGGACCAUAUAUUCCGUAGCUUGUUGCCAAGUGGCCGUAACCAAGAAGUGUAAAAUUUACCUCUCUUCAUUUAACAUAUUUGCUUUUUCAAGCGAGCUGCAAGAAACUGAGAAUCAAUAAACGAAACAUAUAAAAUAAAGAUAGUAUACAAAAUUGCUCUAUCAU